Molecule: ribosomal RNA, 564 nt
Filed under: Bjerkandera sp.
Lineage: Eukaryota; Fungi; Basidiomycota; Agaricomycetes; Polyporales; Phanerochaetaceae
Description: LSU rRNA
Rfam family: Eukaryotic large subunit ribosomal RNA
Source: RNAcentral
GCUCAAAUUUAAAAUCUGGCGGUCUUCGGCCGUCCGAGUUGUAAUCUGGAGAAGCGUUUUCCGCGCCGGACCGUGUACAAGUCUCUUGGAACAGAGCGUCAUAGAGGGUGAGAAUCCCGUCUUUGACACGGACUACCGGUGCUAUGUGAUGCGCUCUCGAUGAGUCGAGUUGUUUGGGAAUGCAGCUCAAAAUGGGUGGUAAAUUCCAUCUAAAGCUAAAUAUUGGCGAGAGACCGAUAGCGAACAAGUACCGUGAGGGAAAGAUGAAAAGCACUUUGGAAAGAGAGUUAAACAGUACGUGAAAUUGCUGAAAGGGAAACGAUUGAAGUCAGUCGCGUGUGCUAGAACUCAGCCUUGCUUUUGCUUGGUGCAUUUUCUAGUGUACGGGCCAGCAUCAGUUUCGGCUGCCGGAAAAAGGCCUUGGGAAUGUGGCACCUUCGGGUGUGUUAUAGCCCUCGGUUGUAUACGGUGGCUGGGACUGAGGAACUCAGCACGCCUUUAUGGCGGGGCUUCGGCCACCUUCGUGCUUUGGAUGCUGGCGUAAUGGCUUUAAACGACCCGUCU